RNAcentral lists this long non-coding RNA (1123 nucleotides) under Olea europaea (common olive). Its description in RNAcentral is "long non-coding RNA (OEUR_LNC014373)". Lineage: Eukaryota; Viridiplantae; Streptophyta; Magnoliopsida; Lamiales; Oleaceae. The record is from RNAcentral.
CACACUUUUCAUUAAUACACUAUUUAAAAAUUCAUUCUUUCCAAAGAAUGUGGCCAAAACAAGGGCAAAGUCUUGAUACGGCCGUAUAUAGCUCUCCUCGGCCAAUUCUAGGUCCUAGGAGACCCUCUUAACAUCGGCCACAAGAGAAGCUUUCCUAGUAGCUAAAAUUUCUGCACUCUUACCUGUCUCUUUAGAUUUGGCUCUUUCCUUCUAGCUGUCCCUAAUUUUCUUCAAAGAGUUUUACACCUCUUCUUCAAAGAGUUAACCUUCUUGCCAAGCUGCCAGCCAGCAAAACAUAAGCAUCGUACUCAGUCUACUAAUUGUGAUGUAGAACAACAGCUCACACGAGACGGUCGUGAAUCAUUUCUUUCCUUUGAGCAGAGGUAAGCUCCUCUACGAACCUCUUCUAAGACUGAUUAAAAUAAGCAUAUGUAGAUCGUGCUAUCCUGGAAACAAAAUGAGGAAACGUCGAGAAAAUAUCAAAUCUAAUUCCUCAUUUUGUGACGAGAUUAAUAAAGAUUUAGGAUCAGGGGAAAAAUCGUCGUAAGAAGCAGGAUGCUUUAGGAUCCGUCAUUGGCUUGAAUCCAUUCGGUGCCUCUAUCUUCCCUUCAGAUAUAUCCCUAACUCGAGAAGACUUCAAUACUCUAUCUUCCUAGGAGGGUAGAGGUCACCUAGUUGAACCUCCAGCAGCCCGCGAAGACAUACUCUCAGAACUCCUCGAUCUGUCGGGGAUUGGUUCCUUAGAAGGGGGAGGUACGAAAGUUUUUUUUGGCUCUUAGAGGCUACCAAAGGAUUUGUACUACGAUCAAUUUGUACUCAAGAAAAAAGUAGAAUCAGAUAUUAUUUAAAAAUAGAAAAGUUAAGAAGCAAGAAAUGACACGGCCUAUCUUGAAUCAUCCUAGUGGACUUGAAAUGUGACGUGCAUCGAUGAUAGAAGCUGACUAGAUGUCAAAUCUAUCACCAAAGCUGACUAUGAGUUUUUUCAAAAAAUACAUCAAAAUCAAAUGUUUAUGUAAAACAUAAUGCGAUGGGCUCAAAUUAUUUAUUUCGUGCUUUAUCAAUAUGAGUUAUAGCACUCAACAUGUCGUGUGGCUCUCAUUCCAAAAUCAUUAGGCUCUCCCAA